Rosa chinensis is the source of this 267-nucleotide long non-coding RNA. RefSeq lists it as uncharacterized. The transcript is spliced from 3 exons. The record is from RefSeq and is a predicted model, not a curated record. Lineage: Eukaryota; Viridiplantae; Streptophyta; Magnoliopsida; Rosales; Rosaceae.
CACAGAGAGGUUAACCCGACGUUGCAACUUAUUAACCCUGCGACGAAAAAGUUCAGUAAAGGCAUUGAUAAUUUUGUUCGGUUCACCGGGAGUCCGCAUGGGUGAAACAAUGGCACAUGAGAUGAUGCAUGCAUGGUUUUACCUUCAAGGUUGUAGAGGGAAAUUGGAAAGAAGUGUUGAAGAAGGCAUUUGCAGUUUAAUGGGAUACAUGUGGAUGGAGUGGUUUUGUACUAGUGGUGUUGACUCCUUUUACAAAACCAGUGUACA